This 588-nucleotide small RNA is filed under the name Pongo abelii (Sumatran orangutan). RNAcentral's name for it is "retained intron". Lineage: Eukaryota; Metazoa; Chordata; Mammalia; Primates; Hominidae. The record is from RNAcentral.
AUUGCCCGCUCCGCGUCCGGCCCGCGACCCGCGCUCAUCCGCCUGCCCGCCCGCGCCAUGAACGCCAAGGUCGUGGUCGUGCUGGCUCUCGUGCUGACCGCGCUCUGCCUCAGCGACGGGAAGCCCGUCAGCCUGAGCUACAGAUGCCCAUGCCGAUUCUUCGAAAGCCAUGUUGCCAGAGCCAACGUCAAGCAUCUCAAAAUUCUUAACACUCCAAACUGUGCCCUUCAGAUUGUGUAAGUCUUGAAAUUGAACAUCAUCUAACGAACAUAGUUGCAUCUAAUGAAGAUAGUAACAUCUAACCCGAGUCUUAUUAAAGGUGUAGAAGUGACAAGCCAAGUGUCCAACCUUGAACUUGGCAUAAUUAGUGGCAGCUAUUCUUAUCACGAGGACCUUUAGUAUGCCACCAGGCAUUAAUUUUAAAAGCUGCUCUUGGCCUGGGCACCCUGCUGUGCUGGUAGUAGUUCUCUCUUCUUUCCAAACCUGUGUUCUUCAGCACAGCACAGCUGGAUGCUAGAGAAACUAUGGGCUUCACCAAGGUUUUGGCUGAAGCCUAGUAAAUUAGCCAGCCCUUAGCUAAUAACAGUG